GACAGAGGGUGCAAACGUGUUCGGAAUUACUGGGCGUAAAGCGCGUGUAGGCUGCCCUGCAAGUCAGGUGUGAAAGCCUGGGCUCAACCUAGGAAGUGCACUUGAAACUGCGGGGAUUGAGUGCUGGAGAGGGAAGCGGAAUUCUCGGUGUAGAGGUGAAAUUCGUAGAUAUCGAGAGGAACACCGGUGGCGAAGGCGGCU
RNAcentral lists this ribosomal RNA (201 nucleotides) under uncultured bacterium. RNAcentral's name for it is "partial 16S ribosomal RNA". It matches the Rfam family "Bacterial small subunit ribosomal RNA", at positions 524 to 726 of the family's 1533-position model. The record is from RNAcentral.